Molecule: ribosomal RNA, 457 nt
Filed under: uncultured marine bacterium 311
Lineage: Bacteria
Description: bacterial SSU rRNA
Rfam family: Bacterial small subunit ribosomal RNA
Source: RNAcentral
GGGANGNUAGCNGUUACGAGCGCACCCCCUAUCCUUAUUUGCCAGCGCGUAAUGGCGGGGACUAUAAGGAGACUGCCGGUUCAUAAACCGGAGGAAGGCGGGGACGAUGUCAAGUCAUCAUGGCCCUUAUGGGUAGGGCUACACACGUGCUACAAUGGGUGGUACAGAGGGUCGCUAAAGCGCGAGCUGGAGCCAAACCCUUAAAACCAUUCGUAGUCCGGAUUGGAGUCUGCAACUCGACUCCAUGAAGUCGGAAUCGCUAGUAAUCGCGAAUCAGAAUGUCGCGGUGAAUACGUUCUCGGGCCUUGUACACACCGCCCGUCACAUCAUGGAAGUGGGUUGCACCAGAAGUGAUUAGUCCAACCUUCGGGAAGACGAUCACCACGGUGUGAUUCAUGACUGGGAUGAAGUCGUAACAAGGUAGCCCUAGGGGAACCUGGGGCUGGAUCACCUCCUU